RNAcentral lists this ribosomal RNA (354 nucleotides) under uncultured bacterium. RNAcentral describes it as "bacterial SSU rRNA". It matches the Rfam family "Bacterial small subunit ribosomal RNA", at positions 917 to 1271 of the family's 1533-position model. The record is from RNAcentral.
GGCCCCGCACAAGCGGCGGAGCAUGCGGAUUAAUUCGAUGCAACGCGAAGAACCUUACCAAGGCUUGACAUAUAGAGGAAAAAGUGCAGAAACUGCACUCCCCGCAAGGUCUCUAUACAGGUGGUGCAUGGUUGUCGUCAGCUCGUGUCGUGAGAUGUUGGGUUAAGUCCCGCAACGAGCGCAACCCUCGUCCUAUGUUGCCAGCACGUAAUGGUGGGAACUCAUGGGAUACUGCCGGGGUCAACUCGGAGGAAGGUGGGGAUGACGUCAAAUCAUCAUGCCCCUUAUGUCUUGGGCUUCACGCAUGCUACAAUGGCCGGUACAGAGGGCUGCAAUACCGUAAGGUGGAGCGAA